Molecule: ribosomal RNA, 253 nt
Filed under: uncultured bacterium
Lineage: Bacteria
Description: partial 16S ribosomal RNA
Rfam family: Bacterial small subunit ribosomal RNA
Source: RNAcentral
UACAGAGGUCCCGAGCGUUGUUCGGAUUCAUUGGGCGUAAAGGGUGCGUAGGCGGCGGGGUAAGUUUGAUGUGAAAUCCCGGGGCUCAACCCUGGAAUUGCAUUGAAUACUACCUUGCUAGAGUACCGGAGAGGAAACUGGAAUUUACGGUGUAGCAGUGAAAUGCGUAGAGAUCGUAAGGAAGACCAGUGGCGAAGGCGAGUUUCUGGACGGUAACUGACGUUGAGGCACGAAGGCCAGGGGAGCAAACGGG